This 739-nucleotide ribosomal RNA is filed under the name Bacillus licheniformis. RNAcentral's name for it is "bacterial SSU rRNA". It matches the Rfam family "Bacterial small subunit ribosomal RNA", at positions 60 to 783 of the family's 1533-position model. Lineage: Bacteria; Bacillati; Bacillota; Bacilli; Caryophanales; Bacillaceae. The record is from RNAcentral.
AGUCGAGCGGACAGACGGGAGCUCGGCUCCCUGAUGUUAGCGGCGGACGGGUGAGUAACACGUGGGUAACCUGCCUGUAAGACUGGGAUAACUCCGGGAAACCGGGGCUAAUACCGGAUGCUUGAUUGAACCGCAUGGUUCAAUUAUAAAAGGUGGCUUUUACCUACCACUUACAAAUGGACCCCCGGCGCAUUACCUAGUUGGUGAGGUAACGGCUCACCAAGGCAACAAUCCGUACCCAACCUGAAAGGGUGAUCGGCCCCACUGGGACUGAAACACGGCCCAAACUCCUACGGGAGGCAGCAUUAGGGAAUCUUCCCCAAUGGACAAAAGUCUGACGGACCAACGCCCCGUGAUUGAUGAAGGUUUUCGAAUCGUAAAACUCUGUUGUUAGGGAAAAACAAUUACCGUUCAAAUAGGGCGGUACCUUGACGGUACCUAACCAAAAAGCCACGGCUAACUACUUGCCACCAGCCGCGGUAAUACUUAGGUGGCAAGCGUUGUCCGGAAUUAUUGGGCGUAAAGGGCGCGCAGGCGGUUUCUUAAUUCUAAUGUGAAAGCCCCCGGUUCAACCGGGAAGGGUCAUUGGAAACUGGGGAACUUGAUUGCAAAAAAGGAAAUUGAAAUUCCACUUGUAGCGGUGAAAUGCUUAAAGAUUGAAGGAACACCAUUGGCAAAGGCAACUCUUGGUCUGUAACUGACCUAAGGCCGAAAGCGUGGGGAGCGAACAGGAUUAAAA